AAUCCGCCUGGCGGGGGGAGCGGGGGGGGAGCGGGGGGGAGGCAGACGGGUUUAAAGCACACCGGCGUGGAGUUGACAGCAGCUCAGGUCUGACGCCGGACACUCACAGUCACCGAAGGGCGACCGUUCCAGCGUCGUCACACAAUGAGCGGACCCACGAACGCUGUUCAGUUCCCGCCCGGUGUGUUCGCCGACAACAACAACAGCAGCCCCGCUGUGUGCGGCCGCGGGGCCUCAAACAUCGCCUGUGAGCGCUGCGGCCUGGUUUGUCGAGGGGAGGUGGUCCGAGUCAAGAGCACACACUUCCACGUGCAGUGCUUCACCUGCCAAGUGUGUGGCUGUGACUUGGUGCACUCGGGCUUCUUCCACCACUCUGGUGAGUACAUCUGUACGGAGGACUUCCAGCGCCUCUAUGGGACCCAGUGUGACAGCUGUGAGCAGUACAUCACCGGAGAGGUGGUUUCCGCCCUGGGGAGGACGUAUCACCCGCGCUGCUUCGUCUGCAGCAUCUGCAGGAGUCCGUUCCCGAUCGGCGACAGGGUGACCUUCUGUGGGAAGAAGUGUGUGUGUCAGCAGUGCUCCCAGUCUCUGAGCAGCGACAAGCCCGUCAAGGUCCACGGGCCGAGCUACUGCGCCGGCUGCGGGGCAGAGAUCAAGCAGGGCCAGUCCCUGCUGGCUCUGGGGAGGCAGUGGCACGUCACCUGCUUUAAAUGCCGGACGUGCGGCUGCGCGCUCACCGGCGAGUACAUCAGCAAGGACGGGGCGCCGUACUGCGAGAGCGACUACCACGCUCAGUUCGGGAUCCGGUGUGAGAGCUGCAAGGGCUUCAUCAGCGGAAGCGUGCUGGAGGCUGGAGGGAAGCACUACCACCCCAGCUGUGCCAGGUGUGCCCGCUGUCAGAUGAUGUUCCUGGAAGGAGAAGAGAUGUACCUCACGGGAUCAGAAGUUUGGCACCCCAUGUGUAAAGAAGCGGCGCGGCUGGAGAGAAAGCUGAGGCUGAGACGCACCUCCGAGACGGCGUCCGUCUCCCCGCCAGGCUCCUCCCCCCUCCUGGGCUCUCCCCGUCGACUCAUCUGUUCUAAGGCUGACGGGGACGUCUUGCACUACAAGCAGCUGGCAGCGCUGCCCAGGGUCAAAGCAAUAUAUGACAUCCAGCGUCCAGACAUCAUCCCUUAUCAGGCCGACCGCGCACACGCUCACCUGUCGGACGACAACCUGGAGCGAAUCAGCUGCAGACAGUCGCUGGGCUCCUCUUCACCGUUCUCUAACGAUCUACUGGACGGCAUAGAUCUGAGGACGAGGCGCUCCUCCAGCUCCACCUUCACUGACUCCCCUGCACACAGUCGCCACAGAGGCUCCCCGCUGCAUUAUUACCUCCCUGGAAGUGAAAGUGGCAGGAGUUCACCCUAUUACAGUCAGCCAGAACCCAGGUGUGCCACGCCCACCAGCACCACCUCCCCAGCCCUCAGGCAUUUCCAUGUGCCAGCUUCUGAGGAGACCAACAUCUACAGAAAACCUCCCAUCUACAAAAGGCAAGACCUCUCUCCAGCCGCCCGUCAGAGUAAGACCAACGAGAACCUCAUCAACUCCAGCCACCGGUCCACGUCCGUCUGUAACAGCAUCUAUCGCACCGACUCCAACUUCUACCCGUACGCGGGCUCUCCUAAAGUCUCCAGAGCCAGGAGGUUUUCAUCAGGAGGAGAGGAGGAGGGAUGGAACCACAACAUAAACAGGGGAAUCGGCAGGAUGAUCCUGAAGGAGGAGAUGAAGGCGCAGGCGGGCCAUCGCCACGGCGAUCAGUGGGGCAGCGGACGCAGCUCCCGCUGCAGCAGCAAGGAGGCGCUGAACAGCGUGGACUACGGCUCGCUCAACGGCUCUCCCAGGUCCCUCCACAGUGGCGACGGCGACUCGUACGUUGCCAAAUCGGCAUCGUUGCCAGGUUACGGCAGGAAUGGACCCAACAGGCCGGGGAGCGCGGGUGCAGAUUAUUACCAGUAUGACAGCAGUAAUGCAGUUAAUUGGCAGAUCAGAGGUAAGUCUGCUGCACACGGGGAAUCUGCCUAUGCAGAGUUUACAGAGUCUGAUUGGUCGUUCCUGCUCACGCAUACAGAGUGCAAUAAUAGUAAUAAUAGUAAUGAGACUGUACUUCUCUUUUCUUUCAGAAUACAAGGUGAGACGCUCUUCACAAACCUGCCAGACGAUUAUUAUGGAGCCCUGAUGGAGACUAUUGCUCUGUGGAUCAUGAUUUAUUAGUAAUACUGUCUCUUUAUUAGAUCUACCCAUACGAAGACUUGAUGGUAUCAGUCAGAGGGCAGCAGCGUCUCCCCAGUGACGUGGACCGAGCCAGACUGGAGCGCCACCUGUCCCCAGAGGAGUUCUACCGGGUCUUUGGCAUGUCCAUGUCUGCCUUCGACCGCCUUGCUCAGUGGAAAAAGAACGAACUUAAGAAACAGGUUCGCUUGUUUUGAGACCGGGACCGUCUGACUCAAUGCAGGUGUACUGCCAACAACACACCGGGUCUCCAGAGGACUGAACCCUGGCUGAAAGCGGAGCAUCAGGCCGUCUGCUGCUUUGGGUCCUCAUCAGCUGAUUGGCCUAAAUGAGGGAAGUAGAGGACGGAGAGAUGAGGAAGGAACGAGGACAGAAUGAAGACCCUCACAGGCAGCGGAUGGGCCACGGUGACAGGACUGCGUCACCGCCUCUUGCCAGCAGGUGGCAGUGUGUAGUCAGCAUCACUGCGGCCCUCCGCAGUCAAAAGCAUCGGUAUUAAAUCAUACAAGGUCUGCUUCGUUGAGCAAAACAAGCAAAGACCGUUUGGGAGACAAACAGGCCGACAGGUUACUGAAAACACAUCAUUUAAAUAAGCUGACGUCAGUGAUAGUGCUUUUAUAAUGUCAUUAUGAAAACCAAAGGUUUUCUUCUUUUAUAUUAGUGGCAUGUGUUUGAUUUUAAUAUUUGAAGCCAUAUCAGUGUUAAAUUCUUUUCUAUGACUUGAAAACUGUAGUUGACUGAAGUGAUUUUUAAAUUAAGGUUUAACGUGAAUGACAGGAUGCUAGUUUAGGAUUUAAUAAUUCACAAGGUAUGUUUGUUUAACCUAUUUUGAUUCAAAUGAGUCAAAUCUUUUGUCACUUGAUGUCACAGUAAUGGACAACUUUCAAAAAUAGCGAGACUUCUAAAGAUAAAAACAAAUGAGAGGAGGUGAUUGGAGAAGUAACCAGCAGGGAGAGAAUGUGUCCAAGGAGGACCCUCAAGAUUAAAACAAAGAAAACCCCAUUAGGAUUAUAGAUUAAAGAUUUAUGAACGUAAUGAAAAUAGAAGCAUGCAGGAGGCUGAGAAGAAGUGUGUGCGUGCAUAUUAAAUAAGUGUGAAACCUCUGGAGUCAAGAAUCUAUAUUUCAUUUAUUGUACAGGCGUUUUUGAAUUUAGAAAACUAAUAAAUUAUUUUUAAAAAGUA
Molecule: RNA transcript, 3453 nt
Organism: Betta splendens (Siamese fighting fish)
Lineage: Eukaryota; Metazoa; Chordata; Actinopteri; Anabantiformes; Osphronemidae
Gene name: actin-binding LIM protein 3-like
Exons: 21
Source: RefSeq, a predicted model, not a curated record